UACAGAGGGGGCAAGCGUUAUUCGGAAUUAUUGGGCGUAAAGGGCGCGUAGGCGGCCUGGCAAGUGGAAGGUGAAAUCCCUCGGCUUAACCGAGGAACUGCCCUCCAAACUGCUUGGCUUGAGUCCGGGAGAGGUGAGUGGAAUUCCCAGUAUAGCGGUGAAAUGCGUAGAUAUUGGGAGGAACACCAGUGGCGAAGGCGACUUCCUGGCCUGUUCUUGACGCUGAGGCGCGAAAGCUAGGGGAGCGAAUGGG
Molecule: ribosomal RNA, 253 nt
Filed under: uncultured bacterium
Lineage: Bacteria
Description: partial 16S ribosomal RNA
Rfam family: Bacterial small subunit ribosomal RNA
Source: RNAcentral